Molecule: long non-coding RNA, 5078 nt
Filed under: Marmota monax (woodchuck)
Lineage: Eukaryota; Metazoa; Chordata; Mammalia; Rodentia; Sciuridae
Source: RNAcentral
CUGGAUGUUUGGACAGCAGGUGUGUGGAGGCCGAGGGCAGCCAGCACCAGGGCGCGGCCCUCUCCAUUCCGAGGCUGUCCUGUUUCCAGGAUGCAGGUCUCCUGACUUCUCCUCUGUGAUUAAUGUGGAAGCCAUUUCUUGAUGUACUGUCUUAAUAACAUGGUGAAGGCAGACGCACGGGCUUUGGUUGCUGACGGUGACAGCACUUUUAUCUGACCAGCCCUCACCCCGAUUCCUGCGAGUCCGGUAGGUAGCAGAGGCAGCGAGUGAGGGAAGAGAGAAUCUGAAUUAAUCAGUGAUUUGCCUAGGGUAGUGAUUAGCUACGACUCAGACCUGCCGCCUAGCAUUUUAAGCAAUGGCCCAACUUCCUUUAGUUUUCUACUCUCUUUCGGGGCUGGGAGAACUCUCUUAAUAAAAUGCGUUCACCUGCAGAUGUAUUUGGAGGGUAAAAUGCCAACUCAUUAAAAAUGGUGAAAUCCCCAGUAGCUAAAGCCUUCCCCGUGGGUGAACUUAAACUUUCCAUACUGCCUAAGAAGGGGGCAAUGCCACUCGAUAUUAUCCCCAAGUGGGUGUCCUCCUGCCAAUUAGACUGUCAAUACUCCCAGGGCAAAGCCCUAAUCUUGCUGUUUUGAGUACUUUUAAAUAACUUCUACCAGUGUGGGUACUUUCUGGCCUGCUGGUUGGCUUAACUAAGUACAAGAGUUGAAACUGGGUCAUGAUGUCCCUGGCAUGCUUUUAUCAGGUAUGGUGAUUAAGAAUUUGGGCGUGAGUGCUUGGUGAUUAGACUGCCUGGAUUAGAAUCAUAGCUGGCUGUGUAGCUUUGGGGAUUCAGUUAACCUCUCUGAGCUUCAGUCCUUUGAACUGUAAAAUGAGCUGUUAGAAUGAGUCAAGGGGAUGGUGUAACUGAAGCACUUAGCAUUCAAUAAAAAGACAACCAUUAUCAUCAACAGAUGGCUGACUGGGCCAGCAGGGGCACAGGUUCAUUUGCCUCUGGAGCCCAGGCAGUGGCUCUUUUGGAGAGCUCAGGGUGACUUCUGCUAGGUUGCUCCUAAGGGGGGCUUCUCCCCACAAGGAGCUGGGAUAUAGGGCCAGUGGCCAUGUGCUGGACGUGGCUCAAUCUUUCCAUAGCUGCCCAGGCAGAGGUCUCUACCCCAAACUCCCACCCAGUUGGCCCAGAGAUCUAGGGAACAUCCUUGCUUCUUGGGAGGAAAUAGGAGCUCUCCAAACUCCCUUUGGGCUUGUCUCCUGGGGCUCAUCAAAGGCCCGUGGCGUGGGCUCCAGAGGAGAAGGUCUCUCCCUAGCUGCAUGCCCGGGCGAGGUACAUACAGGUGACUGUGCUCUCCUACCCCACCUGGACACAGGUUCCCAGCUCCUAACAGAGUUCCCGAUGCUCCAGGCUUAAAACAGGAGUCUGUUGCCCUGGCUCUGGAGGCUGGGAUCUAAGGAGUCAGCCGGGCCAGGCUCUCAAGGCAACUGGAGGGAGGAUCCUUCCCUGCCUCUGGUGGCUUUGGGUGCUUCCCCGCCAUCGGAUGCAUCUCUCCAGGUCUCGAGCAUCUCUCCCUGGGUGUCUUCACACUGUCUGCCCUCUGCCAGGUCUGCUCUUGUCCACAUUCCCCUCUUCAUCAGGUUACCAAUUACAUUGGAUCUGACUGUGGCCUCGUUUUAACCUGAUUUCCUCAGUAAAGAGUCUAUCUCCAAACCAGGCACCUCCUGAAGCCCCAGGGGCUGGACUUCAGUGCAUCUUUUGUGGGGGUACGACCCAAGACCACCUGUGAUGGUUGAUUUAAUGUAUCAACCUGGCUGAGCCACAGUACCGGGAAAUGGGGUCAGACAUGAUUCUAGGUAGUUCUGUGAAGACUCUCCGUGUGUUAGGUGAUGUGAACACAUAAACCAGGAGACCUUGAGUGAAGCCAAUGAUCCUCAAGAGACAAAGAUGAGGCUCCCUUGGAGAAGAGGAAGUUCUACCCACAGACUGCCUCUGAACUUGAACUGAAACCCUGGGCAGCCUCUCCGCCCCGCCAGCCCACUCCACGGGUUUCAUAGACUUGAAGGUCUAUACCUGAAGGUUCCACAACCAACCACAGAUCAACAAUGUUUAGGGAAGGAAUGGCGUCAGUAGUGUAAAGACUUUCCUUGUUACCAUUCCCUACAUAAUAUAGUCUAACAACUAUUUACAUAGUGUUUACAUUGUACUGGGUAUUACAAGCAAUACCUAGACAUGACCUGAAGUAUAAGGGAGAGUGUGUAGGUUAUAUAAAGAUAUUGUGUCAUUUUACAUAAGAGACUUGAGCCUCUGUAGAUUUCCAUAUCUCUGAGGUGUGGGGGGAGGGUCCUGGAACCCAUCCCUUGUGGGUAUCUGUAUACAUUCUGUUGAUCUCAUUUCUCUGAUGAUUCCUACUAAGAUAGCAUCCAGUGGUCCCAGGGACGCUCCUGUAGACCCAGGGCCCUGGCUCUGGUGCUAUGGCAAUGUCAAAGCUGACACUACUCCAUGUAGAUCUCACGCAGACCCGAGGCUGCCUUGGAACACAUCUCACUGUCAACAAACUAUCCAUCAACCCCCAAACGGGCAUUUCUGAGCCCUUAGUUUUUAUUUAUCCCCUCGGCGAGGGAAGGUUGAACUGUUCAGUCUCGGUGUGAAUUGCUUUGAGAGGUGAUGGGGAAGAAAUGAGAAGAAAUUCCUUUGCUUCACAAUUCAGCAGUCCUGGAGGCUGGCAUUCCGCAGAAGGGCUUAGAGUGGACUCACUGUUUUAAGCAUCGCACAGAACGCCGUAGCGUCCACCACGCUCUUCAUUACCUGAUCCUCGUCGCUGCCUAACAAUCUGCUCCAGACUGGAGUGGUUCAGGAUACGAUUGUUUGUUCAUGGUUCUGAGGGUCAGCAGCUUGCUCUGGGAUAAACUGGAUGGUCUUUUCUGGAGUCAAUUACUCACCUGGCAGCAUAACAGGAACUAGAUGGUCCAAGAUGGCCUUGCCCGGCUGGCAGUUGGUACAGUGGCUGUUGGCUGGGUUUCUCUCUCAGUGAGACUUCUCAUCUUCAAGAUGGCAAGCCUGGGCUUCCUGUGUUCUGAGAACAUAGGAAUGGAUGCUGCAAGACUUCUCAAGGCCUAGGCUCAGAAGUUGCCAAAACACCACUUUAGUGGCAUUCUUUUGGUCAAAGCGCUUAAAGAACCUUCCCAGAUUCCUGGCAAGGAGGAAGAGAUCCCACCUCUUAACGGGAAUCAGUGCGAAGCCACAUGGCGGAGAGUUGUUCAUACACUGACCUGAGGAUGGCCAGUUCUGCAAACAAUCGACCGCAUCCACUAUGCAAAUGAAGCCAGUGAUGGGGUCGGUGAGUUAUGUCUGGAUACUCCCUUGGAAGUGAUGGACACGAUACUGAUCAGACCCAGAGAGCAGAGGUGGAUCUGGGAUGUGUGAGGACAUGGCUAUUUCUUUCACAUUUGAUUGGGAACCUGGCAGGAAAGGUGUUUGGACUCUGCCUGAUUCAAAGUCUAGUCUAUAAAUUUUUUCCUGCAAAAUUAGAUAUUUGUCUCAUCUCUGUUACGGCACAGCCGGAGGCAUCUGGUAGAGCCUGCUAACUUAUGUUCUUAGAUUUUCCUUGGCAGAAAUGAAAUUUUUUUCCCUAAGAUUUUUUUUUUCCUCUCUAAGGCUGAGGCUUUGGGUUAAUACUGGGGAUCUACAAUUCAUAAAUUCCUCUUGGUUCAUUCUUUCAAAAUGAGACAUUUAAUAGAUUGCAAAGACUUAAUAAGGGUGCUGCUUAGUCACCUAAUGAAGUUAUUGUACAUGUGGCUGACAGCUGGUAGUUUAUUAUUAUCCUUGUUCCUGAUAAGAGUCGUACUGUACACAGUGGUUGUCUAAUAAAUAUUAGCUCUACCGACAUAGCUGUGGACGAUGAUCUGUCCCUUUGUGUCUCACCAAUCAUCCAUAAUACAUUCUUCUAUUAAUGCUGCAUCUAUAUUCUGUUAAUUUUGUCAAUUAUAUGUAGAAGGGGGGUAGAGCUGUGUGUCUUUAUUAUUGUUAGCUUAAAUGAUCUAAUUUAUUCUGCCGCCGUGUUUCACUCAGCAUAGCAAGUCACAAUAUUUUUCUGUCCCCGCAGUGAAAGACUGCAGUUAGUUGAUCUCGCUAACAAGGGAUAAUUAUUAGCUUCCUCAAGAACGGUCCCCUAUAUGCAUUACUAAGCAUUCCAGAAGGAUUAAUAUUUCCAUGAAUGUUGGACAAGAUGCUGUAGCGGCACAGCGAGAUAGGGCUGUUUUAAUAUUUGUCCUCGUUUCAUUUGCAUAUCUAUCACUGGUAAUUUGUUCAUGCCGCUUGUGUUUCAGCCUGUCACCAUGCGGAGAAUUAAUGCACCUCCACCGGCCGGGCACCCAAUGCCAAAGUGAGCACCACCGGGCAAGUCAGAACCUCAGAGGGUUCUGGCCAUCACCAAGUUUACAUUCAAGAGCAACUUAAUCGCAGGGUGAUGCUUUUUCUGAAAAGUGAGCAGUGAGAUGGCAGAUUUGAAGCACGGUUCAUUGACGUUCAAGGGUUUCUUCCUCAGAUGAGCAAAGCUGUUCUGGCACUUGGAAUUGCACCGUGUUUUCUGAUUGUUUGGUUAUUGUCAUUGGGAGCAUGCAACAACGUUGGGGCUUAAAAUUCAACAGAGGAUUGAUUCUAGUCAGUGGUGGCUGGGAAGGCUUUGAUUGUCAGCUCAGGGUCCAGAAGAAACAAAAACUGGGAGCGUCAGCAUCCAUUUGGACAUAAUUGUACUGGACAUCUUAACCAAGCCACAUACAUGCCUGUAUGGAAAGCAUUUAAUUAUUUUAAUAUAUUCCCAGUGAAUUUUUCUAUUUAGGAGAGCUUUAACCCACAAGGAAGCAAAUAUUGAUAUUAUAUUAACUUGAAGUUGGAAUUUAGCUGUUACUAUGAAACAUUUAUGAAGUAUCUGGUUCCGUCAUUCAUGGGUUCAAUUGCAUCAAUCAAGAGAUAAUUAUUGAAGAGCUCACGUGCACCGGAUGCACAGUAGGUUGUAGGAACACCGGGGGAGUUUGCAGUCUGGAGGGGAGAAAAGACAAGGAAGCCACAGCUCUAGCACGGUGGAAUCUGU